CUACGGGCGGCACCAGUGGGGAAUAUUGGGCAAUGGGCGCAAGCCUGACCCAGCAACGCCGCGUGAGGGAAGAAUGUCUUCGGAUUGUAAACCUCUGUCCUUGGGGACGAAAAAAAUGACGGUACCCAAGGAGGAAGCUCCGGCUAACUACGUGCCAGCAGCCGCGGGAAUACGUAGGGAGCAAGCGUUGUCCGGAAUUAUUGGGCGUAAAGGGUGCGUAGGCGGCGCUGUAAGUCAGAUGUGAAAUCCCCGGGCUUAACUCGGGAGUUGCAUUUGAAACUACAGUGCUUGAGUAAAGAAGGGGUAAGUGGAAUUCCUAGUGUAGCGGUGGAAUGCGUAGAUAUUAGGAGGAACACCAGUGGCGAAGGCGACUUACUGGUCUUUUACUGACGCUGAGGCACGAAAGCGUGGGGAGCAAACAGGAUUAGAUACCCUAGUAGUC
This 442-nucleotide ribosomal RNA is filed under the name uncultured bacterium. Its description in RNAcentral is "partial 16S ribosomal RNA". It matches the Rfam family "Bacterial small subunit ribosomal RNA", at positions 339 to 795 of the family's 1533-position model. The record is from RNAcentral.